RNAcentral lists this long non-coding RNA (354 nucleotides) under Homo sapiens (human). RNAcentral describes it as "LHRI_LNC2129.1". The record is from RNAcentral. Lineage: Eukaryota; Metazoa; Chordata; Mammalia; Primates; Hominidae.
CUGAAAUCUCUUGAUUCAGUGUCUAGCCAUUCCACCUCUUGCUGAAUACCUUUGCCCAGAGGAUAGUUGACAAAAGCGGCGAAACUUCAAACUUGAGUGAUGCUGCUUGUUUGCAGUUUGCCAGGCAGCAGUUAUUGUACAUGCAGGAUAAGGGAAGAAGAGAAAACCUGGGAUUGAGUUGAAGUUUCUCCUUGCUGAUCUGACAUCUUCAUGCUGCUCAUCCUUGCUUCACAAACACUUGCUGCCCUGAAAUACUGAGGUAAGCUGCUUACCUAUAUUUCUUUCUACAUAUGUAUGAGAAAUAUUUACUUGGGUCUCCAAAGUAAUUUUCUAAUAUUUAUAUUUUAAUAAGGC